RNAcentral lists this long non-coding RNA (378 nucleotides) under Mus spicilegus (steppe mouse). RNAcentral describes it as "lncRNA (ENSMSIG00000009573.1)". The record is from RNAcentral. Lineage: Eukaryota; Metazoa; Chordata; Mammalia; Rodentia; Muridae.
UUUAGCUAUAAUGGGCGGAGCCACAGUGCAUCCUCAGCUAUCAGCAGUACCAAUGGACUCAUUAAAAACAAGACUAGCUUUUUAUUUUCCAAACAUCUUCAAGAGUUCAAUGAAACAACCAGGAGAUGUUUGAAAAAAUGUAUUCCCAGCUGUUACUGAGAAGUACUUUCCAUCCUAAGCCGUCCUGGAUGCUGACUGGAUUUCAUAAGAUCAGAGACUUCCAGGAUGACAGACCAACUGACCAACCAGCGGCAGGAAGGGGAAAUCGGAUCUCACUGUUGAACAAAGCUGUUCUUUUAAACAUGAAAAGAAGUGAUUAUGAAGGUAUUCAUUGUCCCCUUUAGGGACAGAACUUAACUGCUGAGGGGUACAGAAGUU